GUUAGGAAUAUUGGACAAUGGGCGCAAGCCUGAUCCAGCCAUGCCGCGUGAGUGAUGAAGGCCUUCGGGUUGUAAAGCUCUUUAGUCCACGAAUAUAAUGACUGUAGUGGAAGAAUAAGCCCCGGCUAACUUCGUGCCAGCAGCCGCGGUAAUACGAAGGGGGCGAGCGUUAUUCGGAAUCACUGGGCGUAAAGCGUGCGUAGGCUGUUUUGUAAGUCAGAAGUGAAAGCCCAGGGCUUAACCCUGGAAUUGCUUUUGAAACUACAAGACUCGAAUUCGGGAGAGGAUAGCGGAAUUGUCAGUGUAGCAGUGAAAUGCGUAGAUAUUGACAUGAACACCAGUGGCGCAAGCGGCUAUCUGGACCGAUAUUGACGCUGAGGCACGAAAGCGUGGGGAGCAAACAGGAUUAGAUACCCUUGUAGUCC
This 425-nucleotide ribosomal RNA is filed under the name uncultured bacterium. RNAcentral's name for it is "partial 16S ribosomal RNA". It matches the Rfam family "Bacterial small subunit ribosomal RNA", at positions 354 to 796 of the family's 1533-position model. The record is from RNAcentral.